This 245-nucleotide long non-coding RNA is filed under the name Lathyrus oleraceus (garden pea). RNAcentral's name for it is "Pisum sativum (pea) long non-coding RNA (PSAT_LNC023139)". Lineage: Eukaryota; Viridiplantae; Streptophyta; Magnoliopsida; Fabales; Fabaceae. The record is from RNAcentral.
UUUGCCUGGAUCGCCCUUUCGGGUUUUCAAUCCACCGGGAUACCCAUUUUUGCCUAAGCCGCCCUUGCGGGUUUUCGACUUACCGGGUGUACAAUUUUUUUCAUUUUUAUCCCUAACUUUUGCCCGAACCUUUUCUUUCUGUUUUUUUUUGGUUCGCCGGGAUGCCCAUUUUUUGCCUGGACUCUUUUUUUUUGUCCAGCGGGUCAAUUUUAUGCGAAGUAUUUUUUGACUACAUCUGAGUUAAC